Molecule: ribosomal RNA, 260 nt
Filed under: uncultured bacterium
Lineage: Bacteria
Description: partial 16S ribosomal RNA
Rfam family: Bacterial small subunit ribosomal RNA
Source: RNAcentral
AGGCUUAACACAUGCAAGUCGAGCGCCCAGCAAUGGGAGCGGCGGACGGGUGAAUAACGCGUGGGAAUAUGCCCUUUGGUACGGAACAACUCAGGGAAACUUGAGCUAAUACCGUAUGAGCCGGUAACGGGAAAGAUUUAUCGCCAAAGGAUUAGCCCGCGUCCGAUUAGCUAGUUGGUGAGGUAAUGGCUCACCAAGGCACCGAUCGGUAGCUGGUCUGAGAGGACGACCAGCCACACUGGGACUGAGACACGGCCCAG